This 497-nucleotide ribosomal RNA is filed under the name uncultured bacterium. RNAcentral's name for it is "partial 16S ribosomal RNA". It matches the Rfam family "Bacterial small subunit ribosomal RNA", at positions 28 to 507 of the family's 1533-position model. The record is from RNAcentral.
GAUGAACGCUGGCGGCGUGCCUAAUACAUGCAAGUCGAGCGAACAGACGAGGAGCUUGCUCCUCUGACGUUAGCGGCGGACGGGUGAGUAACACGUGGAUAACCUACCUAUAAGACUGGGAUAACUUCGGGAAACCGGAGCUAAUACCGGAUAAUAUAUUGAACCGCAUGGUUCAAUAGUGAAAGACGGUUUUGCUAUCACUUAUAGAUGGAUCCGCGCCGCAUUAGCUAGUUGGUAAGGUAACGGCUUACCAAGGCAACGAUACGUAGCCGACCUGAGAGGGUGAUCGGCCACACUGGAACUGAGACACGGUCCAGACUCCUACGGGAGGCAGCAGUAGGGAAUCUUCCGCAAUGGGCGAAAGCCUGACGGAGCAACGCCGCGUGAGUGAUGAAGGUCUUCGGAUCGUAAAACUCUGUUAUUAGGGAAGAACAAAUGUGUAAGUAACUAUGCACGUCUUGACGGUACCUAAUCAGAAAGCCACGGCUAACUACGUG